RNAcentral lists this ribosomal RNA (369 nucleotides) under uncultured bacterium. RNAcentral describes it as "partial 16S ribosomal RNA". It matches the Rfam family "Bacterial small subunit ribosomal RNA", at positions 355 to 742 of the family's 1533-position model. The record is from RNAcentral.
UGGGGAAUAUUGGACAAUGGGGGCAACCUGAUCCAGCCAUGCCGCGUGAGUGAUGAAGGCCUAGGGUUGUAAAGCUCUUUGUGCGGGAAGAUAAUGACGGUACCGCAAGAAUAAGCCCCGGCUAACUUCGUGCCAGCAGCCGCGGUAAUACGAAGGGGGCUAGCGUUGCUCGGAAUCACUGGGCGUAAAGGGUGCGUAGGCGGGUUUCUAAGUCAGAGGUGAAAGCCUGGGAGCUCAACUCCAGGAGCUGCCUUUGAUACUGGAAGUCUUGAGUAUGGCAGAGGUGAGUGGAACUGCGAGUGUAGAGGUGAAAUUCGUAGAUAUUCGCAAGAACACCAGUGGCGAAGGCGGCCAACUGGCUCGAUACUG